RNAcentral lists this ribosomal RNA (473 nucleotides) under uncultured bacterium. RNAcentral's name for it is "bacterial SSU rRNA". It matches the Rfam family "Bacterial small subunit ribosomal RNA", at positions 335 to 802 of the family's 1533-position model. The record is from RNAcentral.
ACUCCUACGGGAGGCAGCAGUAGGGAAUCUUCCACAAUGGGCGCAAGCCUGAUGGAGCAACACCGCGUGAGUGAAGAAGGGUUUCGGCUCGUAAAGCUCUGUUGUUAAAGAAGAACACGUAUGAGAGUAACUGUUCAUACGUUGACGGUAUUUAACCAGAAAGUCACGGCUAACUACGUGCCAGCAGCCGCGGUAAUACGUAGGUGGCAAGCGUUAUCCGGAUUUAUUGGGCGUAAAGAGAGUGCAGGCGGUUUUCUAAGUCUGAUGUGAAAGCCUUCGGCUUAACCGGAGAAGUGCAUCGGAAACUGGAUAACUUGAGUGCAGAAGAGGGUAGUGGAACUCCAUGUGUAGCGGUGGAAUGCGUAGAUAUAUGGAAGAACACCAGUGGCGAAGGCGGCUACCUGGUCUGCAACUGACGCUGAGACUCGAAAGCAUGGGUAGCGAACAGGAUUAGAUACCCUGGUAGGAUACAG